UGUAAUUCGAUGUGGUGUAGUGGGGUGUAAUGUGAUGUGGUGUAGUGGGGUGUAAUGUGAUGUGGUGUGGUGUUAUGUGGUGUGGUGUGGUGUGGUGUAGUGUGGUGUAAUGUCAUGUAGUGUAGUGUGGUGUAGUGUGGUGUAGUGUGGUGUAAUGUGAUGUAGUGUAGUGUGGUGUGGUGUGGUGUGGUGUAAUGUAGUGUGAUGUGGUGUAGUGUAGUGUAGUGUGAUGUGGUGUAGUGUGGUGUAGUGUAGUGUAGUGUGGUGUAAUGUGAUGUGGUGUGGUGUAGUGUAAUGUGGUGUAAUGUGGUGUGGUGUGGUGUAGUGUGGUGUAUUGGGGUGUGAUGUGGUGUAGUGUGAUGUGGUGUGGUGUAGUGUGGUGUAGUGUGGUGUAAUGUGGUGUAAUGUGAUGUGGUGUAGUGGGGUGUGGUGUAAUGUGGUGUGGUGUGGUGUGGUGUGGUGUGGUGUGGUGUGAUGUGGUGUGGUGUAGUGUGGUGUGGUGUGGUGUGGUGUGGUGUAGUGUGGUGUGGUGUAGUGGGGGGUAGUGUGGUGUAGUGGGGUGUGGUGUGGUGUAGUGGGGUGUGGUGUGGUGUAGUGUGGUGUAGUGUGGUGUAGUGCAGUGUGGUGUAGUGUGGUGUAGUGUGGUGUGGUGUAGUGGGGUGUGGUGUGGUGUAGUGUGGUGUGGUGUGGUGUAGUGGGGUGUAGUGUAGUGUAGUGUAGUGUGGUGUGGUGUAGUGUGGUGUGGUGUGGUGUAGUGUGGUGUGGUGUAGUGGGGUGUGGUGUGGUGUGGUGUGGUGUGGUGUAGUGGGGUGUGGUGUAGUGUGGUAUAGUGUGGUGUAGUGCAGUGUGGUGUAGUGUGAUGUAGUGUGUUGUGGUGUAAUGUCGGGUAGGGUAGUGUAGUGUAGUGUGGUUUGGUGUAGUGUGGUGUAAUGUAGGGUAGGUAGUGUAGUGAUGUGGUGUAAUGUAGGGAAGGGUAGUGUAGUGUAGUGUGGUUUGAUGUAGUGUGGUGUAAUGUAGGGUAGGUAGUGUAGUGAUGUGGUGUAAUGUUGGGUAGGGUACUGCAAACCCUCACAUAACCCCAUGCUACAAACAGAUUCAGAAUCCCGACCCCCGUGUGGAGCCCCAGACAGGGUGGUCCCAUCGGACAGGCAGGCAGGCUGUGGUGUGUGGGGCUUGCAGGUGGUGCUGGUUUAGUGGGCCCCCCAGUCGGCUGGCUUUGGCUGUCUCAGCACGUUGCCGCAGUCAGCAUUGUUGCAUAUUUAAUGUCCUGAUGAGCGCUUCCACCUGCUGACACAGUCCAAAGUGACAGAACAACCCCCCCCUCGAACCUCCAUGCCCAGUAUACCGUCAUCAAACCAGCCCUGCCUCACCUCACCUCCGCACAAUAACUACUACUACCGUCGCCUCACCUCGACCCAUUCACUACUCUCCCUCUCUCUCCCUCUCUCUCUCUCUCUCCCUCUCUCUCCCUCUCUUUCUCUCUCCCUCUCUUUCUCUCUCUUUCUCUCUCCCUCUCUCUCGGUCUCUCUCUCUCUCUCUCUCUCUCUCUCUCUCUCUCUCCCUCUCUCUCGGUCUCUCUCUCUCUCCCUCUCUCUCCCUCUCUCUCUCUCUCUCUCUCUCUCUCUCUCUCUCUCUCUCUCUCCCUCUCUCUCGGUCU
Long non-coding RNA from Oncorhynchus tshawytscha (Chinook salmon), 1657 nucleotides. The record is from Ensembl. NCBI's taxonomy places the organism in Eukaryota, Metazoa, Chordata, Actinopteri, Salmoniformes, Salmonidae.